Long non-coding RNA from Stomoxys calcitrans (stable fly), 320 nucleotides. RefSeq lists it as uncharacterized. The record is from RefSeq and is a predicted model, not a curated record. The transcript is spliced from 2 exons. NCBI's taxonomy places the organism in Eukaryota, Metazoa, Arthropoda, Insecta, Diptera, Muscidae.
UCAUUUUUUGUUAAUAUUUUUUAUAAAAAAUAUUAUCGUCGCUUAGCUUCACAUAACAUUUUAUCCCGAUCAACCCACGUGGGUGUUUAUUUGGAGGUGGGGUGGUCCCCACAAACACUUGGCGCCAAAUUUGGAUAAAACUACAACAGAUAUUUAAUUGGAUUAAUACUGCUUGAAUUAUCAAUAUCUGACAGCAAAAAAUUCGUUUUCCCAAAAUCCGUUCAUUCUUGCAAUAUAAAAUCCUAGCAACAUUGUUGCUGCAACAAUAGAGUGCUGACAAACAUGUUCCUGAUUAUUAAACAAAAAUAGAACAAGCUAAA